Molecule: ribosomal RNA, 1398 nt
Filed under: uncultured bacterium
Lineage: Bacteria
Description: 16S ribosomal RNA
Rfam family: Bacterial small subunit ribosomal RNA
Source: RNAcentral
AGAGUUUGAUCCUGGCUCAGGAUGAACGCUAGCGGCAGGCUUAACACAUGCAAGUCGAGGGGCAUCGGGAGGGAAGCUUGCUUUCCUUGCCGGCGACCGGCGCACGGGUGAGUAACACGUAUGCAACCUGCCCUCUUCAGGGGGACAACCUUCCGAAAGGGAGGCUAAUCCCGCGUAUAUCGGUUUCGGGCAUCCGAGAUCGAGGAAAGAUUCAUCGGAAGAGGAUGGGCAUGCGGCGCAUUAGCUAGACGGCGGGGUAACGGCCCACCGUGGCGACGAUGCGUAGGGGUUCUGAGAGGAAGGUCCCCCACACUGGUACUGAGACAUGGACCAGACUCCUACGGGAGGCAGCAGUGAGGAAUAUUGGUCAAUGGGAGAGAUCCUGAACCAGCCAAGCCGCGUGAGGGAAGACGGCCCUAUGGGUUGUAAACCUCUUUUGUCGGAGAACAAAACCCGGGACGAGUCCCGGACUGCGUGUAUCCGAAGAAAAAGCAUCGGCUAACUCCGUGCCAGCAGCCGCGGUAAUACGGAGGAUGCGAGCGUUAUCCGGAUUUAUUGGGUUUAAAGGGUGCGUAGGCGGUCCGUUAAGUCAGCGGUAAAAUUGCGGGGCUCAACCCCGUCGAGCCGUUGAAACUGGCAGACUUGAGUUGGCGAGAAGUACGCGGAAUGCGCGGUGUAGCGGUGAAAUGCAUAGAUAUCGCGCAGAACUCCGAUUGCGAAGGCAGCGUACCGGCGCCAGACUGACGCUGAGGCACGAAAGCGUGGGGAUCGAACAGGAUUAGAUACCCUGGUAGUCCACGCAGUAAACGAUGAAUGCUGGUUGUCCGGGUCGAAUGAGAUCUGGGCGGCGAAGCGAAAGCGAUAAGCAUUCCACCUGGGGAGUACGCCGGCAACGGUGAAACUCAAAGGAAUUGACGGGGGCCCGCACAAGCGGAGGAACAUGUGGUUUAAUUCGAUGAUACGCGAGGAACCUUACCCGGGCUCAAACGGGAGUGGAAUGGACCAGAGACGGUUCAGCCUACGGGCCGCUUCCGAGGUGCUGCAUGGUUGUCGUCAGCUCGUGCCGUGAGGUGUCGGCUUAAGUGCCAUAACGAGCGCAACCCCCGCCGGCAGUUGCUAACGGGCAAUGCCGAGGACUCUGCCGGGACUGCCGCCGCAAGGCGAGAGGAAGGCGGGGAUGACGUCAAAUCAGCACGGCCCUUACGUCCGGGGCGACACACGUGUUACAAUGGGCGGUACAGCGGGAAGCCAGGCGGCGACGCCGAGCGGAACCCGAAAGCCGUUCUCAGUUCGGAUCGGAGUCUGCAACCCGACUCCGUGAAGCUGGAUUCGCUAGUAAUCGCGCAUCAGCCAUGGCGCGGUGAAUACGAUCCCGGGUCUUGUACACACCGCCCGUCA